AUCUCCAAAGUUAAGCAAUGUCAGGCUAGGUCAGUACCGAGAUGGGUGACCACUUGGGAAUACAAGGUGCUGUAAG
Molecule: non-coding RNA, 76 nt
Organism: Acanthosepion pharaonis
Lineage: Eukaryota; Metazoa; Mollusca; Cephalopoda; Sepiida; Sepiidae
Source: the annotation of a GenBank genome assembly